Molecule: ribosomal RNA, 433 nt
Filed under: uncultured bacterium
Lineage: Bacteria
Description: partial 16S ribosomal RNA
Rfam family: Bacterial small subunit ribosomal RNA
Source: RNAcentral
AACGAACGCUGGCGGCAUGCCUAACACAUGCAAGUCGAACGAGACCUUCGGGUCUAGUGGCGCACGGGUGCGUAACGCGUGGGAACCUGCCCUUAGGUUCGGAAUAACUCCCCGAAAGGGGUGCUAAUACCGGAUAAUGUCUUCGGCCCAAAGAUUUAUCGCCUUUGGAUGGGCCCGCGUUGGAUUAGCUAGUUGGUAGGGUAAAAGCCUACCAAGGCGACGAUCCAUAGCUGGUCUGAGAGGAUGAUCAGCCACACUGGGACUGAGACACGGCCCAGACUCUUACGGGAGGCAGCAGUGGGGAAUAGUGGACAAUGGGCGAAAGCCUGAUCCAGCAAUGCCGCGUGAGUGAUGAAGGCCUUAGGGUUGUAAAGCUCUUUUACCCGGGAUGAUAAUGACAGUACCGGGAGAAUAAGCCCCGGCUAACUACGUG